UGACCUAGCGGCGGACGGGUGAGUAAUGCUUAGGAAUCUGCCUAUUAGUGGGGGACAACAUUCCGAAAGGAAUGCUAAUACCGCAUACGCCCUACGGGGGAAAGCAGGGGAUCUUCGGACCUUGCGCUAAUAGAUGAGCCUAAGUCAGAUUAGCUAGUUGGUGGGGUAAAGGCCUACCAAGGCGACGAUCUGUAGCGGGUCUGAGAGGAUGAUCCGCCACACUGGGACUGAGACACGGCCCAGACUCCUACGGGAGGCAGCAGUGGGGAAUAUUGGACAAUGGGCGAAAGCCUGAUCCAGCCAUGCCGCGUGUGUGAAGAAGGCCUUUUGGUUGUAAAGCACUUUAAGCGAGGAGGAGGCUACUUGGAUUAAUACUCUAGGAUAGUGGACGUUACUCGCAGAAUAAGCACCGGCUAACUCUGUGCCAGCAGCCGCGGUAAUACAGAGGGUGCGAGCGUUAAUCGGAUUUACUGGGCGUAAAGCGUGCGUAGGCGGCUUUUUAAGUCGGAUGUGAAAUCCCUGAGCUUAACUUAGGAAUUGCAUUCGAUACUGGGAAGCUAGAGUAUGGGAGAGGAUGGUAGAAUUCCAGGUGUAGCGGUGAAAUGCGUAGAGAUCUGGAGGAAUACCGAUGGCGAAGGCAGCCAUCUGGCCUAAUACUGACGCUGAGGUACGAAAGCAUGGGGAGCAAACAGGAUUAGAUACCCUGGUAGUCCAUGCCGUA
RNAcentral lists this ribosomal RNA (721 nucleotides) under bacterium 55_oclvp119. RNAcentral's name for it is "bacterial SSU rRNA". It matches the Rfam family "Bacterial small subunit ribosomal RNA", at positions 88 to 804 of the family's 1533-position model. The record is from RNAcentral.